CGCGUAGGUGGUAGUGUAAGUCUGGGGUGGAAUCCCAGGGCUUAACCCUGGAACUGCCUUGGAAACUGCAUUACUUGAGUCAGUGAGGGGAGGGUAGAAUUCCUGGUGUAGCGGUGAAAUGCGUAGAUAUCAGGAGGAAGGCCUGUGGCGAAGGCGGCCCUCUGGCGCUGGACUGACACUGAGGCGCGAAAGCGUGGGGAGCAAACAGGAUUAGAUACCCUGGUAGUCCACGCCCUAAACGGUGGGCACUAGGUGUAGGGCUCGUAAGGGUUCUGUGCCGAAGGGAAACCAUUAAGUGCCCCGCCUGGGGAGUACGGCCGCGAAGGUUGAA
This 331-nucleotide ribosomal RNA is filed under the name uncultured bacterium. RNAcentral's name for it is "bacterial SSU rRNA". It matches the Rfam family "Bacterial small subunit ribosomal RNA", at positions 568 to 898 of the family's 1533-position model. The record is from RNAcentral.